UUCAUUUAGUAUGCCAUAUGACAACUUGGUAAAAUUAAUUUUUGCUCAGAAUGUGACUGUGAUUCCAAGGGCUAUGGUGUAUGUACUCGCUUUUAAGUUUGGCCUGCCUCUGCUGUCACCUGUUAUGCAAUGACCCCAUCCCUACAGUACUUCUGUCUAUGAAAAUUCUGAGAAGCCACUGCUUCUUUAGUAUACAUUGAAGUCCUCUGGUUUUCACUACAGUGCAAGUGAAUUCUACCUCACCC
RNAcentral lists this long non-coding RNA (245 nucleotides) under Bos taurus (domestic cattle). RNAcentral's name for it is "long non-coding RNA NONBTAT006936". Lineage: Eukaryota; Metazoa; Chordata; Mammalia; Artiodactyla; Bovidae. The record is from RNAcentral.